Molecule: ribosomal RNA, 548 nt
Filed under: Cylindrocladiella sp. ZH60
Lineage: Eukaryota; Fungi; Ascomycota; Sordariomycetes; Hypocreales; Nectriaceae
Description: eukaryotic LSU rRNA
Rfam family: 5.8S ribosomal RNA (bases 197-350)
Source: RNAcentral
UUUGAGGAAGUAAAAGUCGUAACAAGGUCUCCGUUGGUGAACCAGCGGAGGGAUCAUUACAGAGUUUACAACUCCCAAACCCCUGUGAACAUACCAGUCGUUGCCUCGGCGGUGUCUUGCUUCGGCGAGCCCGCCAGAGGACCCAACAAACUCUUGUUUUUUUAGUAUUAUUUGAGUGACAAGUUUAAUAAAUCAAAACUUUCAACAACGGAUCUCUUGGUUCUGGCAUCGAUGAAGAACGCAGCGAAAUGCGAUAAGUAAUGUGAAUUGCAGAAUUCAGUGAAUCAUAGAAUCUUUGAACGCACAUUGCGCCCGCCAGUAUUCUGGCGGGCAUGCCUGUUCGAGCGUCAUUUCAACCCUCAAACCCCCGGGUUUGGUGUUGGAGAUCGGCAUGAGUCCUCCGGGGCGACGCCGUCUCCCAAAUAUAGUGGCGGUCUCGCUGUAGCUUCCUAUGCGUAGUAGCACCCCUCGCACUGGAAAGCAGCGCGGCCACGCCGUUAAACCCCCAACUUUUCUGAGUUGACCUCGAAUCAGGUAGGCUCCCAUCC